Quercus robur (English oak) is the source of this 322-nucleotide long non-coding RNA. RefSeq lists it as uncharacterized. The record is from RefSeq and is a predicted model, not a curated record. NCBI's taxonomy places the organism in Eukaryota, Viridiplantae, Streptophyta, Magnoliopsida, Fagales, Fagaceae. The transcript has 2 exons.
GGUGGAUGUCGUCGAUGGUGGCUUCGGUGAUUGAGAAUUGUGAGCCGUUGAUUGGGUUGACGAAUAUGGUAGAGAAAACUAACAGCAAUAAAAGCAAGGUCAACGGUGAAGAGGAGGGGAGAGACGUAGUUGGACUGUUGGUCUGCAUUUUUAGUUAGCGUCAAGUUUCAAACCAUCAGUCAGCAAAACCCGUCGGAGAACCGUGGAAGUGCUACACAACAUCUCUCCAUAAUCCAUCAAUACAUACUUUUUAAUGUAUAGUCUGCCUUUCACUGCCUUGUAUUGAUUUAUUGUUUAAUAGUUAAUACUUUAAUUUCUUUUA